GUUUGAUCCUGGCUCAGGAUGAACGCUAGCGACAGGCCUAACACAUGCAAGUCGAGGGGCAGCAUGGAAGUAGCUUGCUACUUCUGAUGGCGACCGGCGCACGGGUGCGUAACAGGUGUGCAAUCUGUCCAUAAUCGGGGAAUAGCCCAGCGAAAGUUGGAUUAAUGCUCCAUGUGAGUUUUAGAGGCAUCUCUUUAAUUUGAAACGUAAGGAUUAUGGGUGAGCACGCUUCUGAUUAGGUAGUUGGUGAGGUAACGGCUCACCAAGCCGACGAUCAGUAGGGGUUCUGAGAGGAAGGUCCCCCACAUUGGAACUGAGACACGGUCCAAACUCCUACGGGAGGCAGCAGUGAGGAAUAUUGGUCAAUGGACGCAAGUCUGAACCAGCCAAGCCGCGUGAAGGAUGAAGGUUCUAUGGAUUGUAAACUUCUUUUGUCUGAGGGUAAAAAAGCGGACGUGUCCGUUCUUGCAAGUAUCAGACGAAUAAGCAUCGGCUAACUCCGUGCCAGCAGCCGCGGUAAUACGGAGGAUGCGAGCGUUAUCCGGAUUUAUUGGGUUUAAAGGGUGCGUAGGCGGGUUGCUAAGUCAGUGGUAAAAGCGUGUGGCUCAACCAUACCAAGCCAUUGAAACUGGCGAUCUUGAGUGCAAACGAGUAGGCGGAAUGUGACGUGUAGC
Molecule: ribosomal RNA, 674 nt
Filed under: uncultured Paludibacter sp.
Lineage: Bacteria; Pseudomonadati; Bacteroidota; Bacteroidia; Bacteroidales; Paludibacteraceae
Description: bacterial SSU rRNA
Rfam family: Bacterial small subunit ribosomal RNA
Source: RNAcentral